UACUUACUUGGGAGGCUGCGCUGAGAGCAUUGCUUGAGCCUGGGAGUUUGAGGCUGCAGUGAGCCAUGAUCACCCCACUGCAAUCCAGCCUGGCCAUAGGGCAAGACCUUAACAAUCAAUCAAAAAUAAAAACAGGGGGUCAGACUGAAAGAGAUCUGAAGAUGUUACACUGCAGCUUCUGAAGAUGGAGGAAGGGGCUAUGAACCAAGGAACACAGGUGGUCUGUGUAAGCCAGAAAUGCAAGGAAACCUCUUCCCUAGAAUCUGAAAGAUGCAACCUAGCAACACUGGUUUCAGACUUCUGACCUCCAGAACUACCAGCAGUGACUGACUACAGAGGACAGAGCAGUCAGUGCCAUUGAAAGACAUCCUAUUCCUUGCAGUUCCUGAGAGGAAAGACAGUGCCAGACCACGCAGCGCCAUGAGGGGAAGUGCCAGUGUUGGUGAAAAACGUUUGUCCUGACCUCUCGUAACUUGUACUUUUCCCUCAGGGCUUUGGUGAACACAGCUUCUCCAUCCCCUGCACCUGGGAAACCCCAACCAUCCCUCAGACCCUGGCACCACUGUCCCCUCCUAGACAGCGUGUACCCUGGGGGCCACCACAGCUCUCUGCUCACGUGGCACCUGUCUGGCCCUACAGGAGCCCACUGCACCCUGCACUGGGGAUUCCUGGAGAACAGUCUCUGAGAUUGACAAUCACCUCUGCCUUCCGCACCCUGCUUGGUCCUGAAUGAUGUGUGCCCUGGGGAACCUCGCUCACCUCCAACAGUCUGAUGUCUCCAUCUGCAAAAGGAAGAUGAAGAUUCCCAGCUACCAUGGAGGGUUUGGGAGAAGAUUAAAUCAGGGAAAUGCUCUUGUUCGUUGGGCACACAGUAGGCAUUUCACAAUGACAGCUGCCACCUCUAACCUCUCAGGAAGCUUCUUUGACGCAGGCUACCAGGGCCAGCUCCUUCCAUCUCUUGCAGGCUGCUGCCACGCCCUCGUGCUGCCCAGAAUCUGCACUUUGGUGCAGAUCUUUCUGGGAAAGCUUCGGCGGGCACUGCCACUCAGCUAUGCCAGCUGGAAAGUGUGACAAAGGCAGCCUGGCCCAAGGUCACCCAUGGGGCUUCAGCGGCUGGUGGGUAAAAUGCUCAGCCCAGGAACUGGAGGAAACCCUUUGGCAUGGAGCCCUAGAACAUCUUCUCUCCCCUGAAACCCAGGAUUUGGAGAAGAGAACUGGGAGACAAUUAAGAUGUGGGAAAAACCGAGAAAGAGCACUCUGAAGUGACACGAGAGGAUCAAUUGCUCUUGAGAGUCUGAUGAAUAGGCUUCUGUUGCUGAAAAUGGUUUCAAAGAUGAGAUGCCUGCAAUGCUCUCAGUCGUGGGAGAUGAGUGAACCAGACAGCUAGGCUCACAGGGGCUCUAGAUCUCACUGUGAAGCCCCAACACCAAGGUGGGAGUGGGCCCUGCCCUGAGCAGCCACCCCAGGAACCCUGCUGAAGCCCACCUGUAGAAGGAUCAUUGGGAAAUGAUCCUGGAGACUGCCUGGGUCGGCAGGCUGGUGGCCUCGCUGGUGUGCUGUGAAAACAGCCCGCAGACAGGCCGCUUCAAGCUCCUUGCAACUGACCACUGCCAUGUAUGGAUGGCUGAGAUUGUACAGCAAAAAAUUCCAGUCUACUGUACUCAGAAUAACUUUUGCAACAUUUUCUUUUUGUAAGCAGUAUGUAUUAUGCAUGAUUUUCUAUUACA
This is a non-coding RNA of Chlorocebus sabaeus (green monkey), 1727 nucleotides long. The record is from RefSeq and is a predicted model, not a curated record. NCBI's taxonomy places the organism in Eukaryota, Metazoa, Chordata, Mammalia, Primates, Cercopithecidae.